This 47-nucleotide small RNA is filed under the name Archaeoglobus fulgidus. The record is from RNAcentral. Lineage: Archaea; Methanobacteriati; Methanobacteriota; Archaeoglobi; Archaeoglobales; Archaeoglobaceae.
UGGACAUUCAGGCACAGCCAGAGCAAAAGACCUUCGUUGAAAUCAGA